This is a long non-coding RNA of Triticum aestivum (bread wheat), 3881 nucleotides long. RefSeq lists it as uncharacterized. NCBI's taxonomy places the organism in Eukaryota, Viridiplantae, Streptophyta, Magnoliopsida, Poales, Poaceae. The record is from RefSeq and is a predicted model, not a curated record. The transcript has 4 exons.
GGUAGCCUGCGGGGUGGGGCGGCAUGAGCGGCCGAUGUCUAAUCUCCUGCCUUUUGGGAGCUGCUGAUUGCUACUACUGGUUCAUUUUUAGGACAGAAAAUGGUUCAGUGGUUGAAACACUGGCGGGUUUCGAAACAGUCAGGACAGUGGGCUGCAAAGUCCAGAUACAAGUGGGCUGCAAACUUCCAUCUUCUGCCCAGUAAAGAGAGUAGGGGCUCCUCUUUGAUUAAAAGGUUUCCAUAGCAAAUGCAUUUGGAUUGAGUUCAGUUUACGAGGCUGUUAGAUGGAAGGUACCCCAUCCUUUUGCUGCUUGUUGGAGGGAAGUAAUUACAACAAUGACUCAGAUGUUGGAUGUCGGUGAUACUUCAGCUCCAAUACAAUUCCAGCCACUCAUCAUCAGCUUCUAGGGUGGAAUGUGCUAUUGCUACACAUAUGGAUAAUUUGACAUGGUAGAGUGAGUGAUUGACGGAGGAAACAUAAGGAGAGAGUCAAAAGACCAGUUGAGCAGAGUGGGUGAUUGACGGAGGAACCAUGAGGAGAGAGUCAAAAGGCCAGUUGAGCAGGCAUUGAGGGCAUGUUGAGAUCAUUUCUUGGUGCAUUUUGUAUCAUUCUAGCCCGUGAGUGUAUCUAAUCUUGCAGUCGAUUGUUUCUAAGGUUUUGACUGGUUGAUUUGCUGAUGUGUCCGCCCUAUGGUUUCAGGUUAAACUUCAAUCCUUCACAAUGUAGUUGUCAUUAUGCAGAAUCUAAGACUGAAGAAAUCGCACUGCUGAUAAUUUAGAUCUCACCCUUGUAAAUAAAGUUGAAUGGGCUGGUAACAUAGUUCUAAAAUUUCAUUAACUCAAAGUAGGCGGUGUUCUUUUUGAAUGGUCUUCUUUCUUCCUCGUAUGUCAAAUGCAAGCAAGCAUGCCUCUGCCGAGGCUUAGAAAUAUCAAGGCGUAUGUGUCCAGGUCACUUUUAUAUACUAAGCAAUACCUUUUCUUCUUUUUGAAUGCACAGACCUGAAAGAGUUCUGUUAUUUUACCCCUUUUUUGUGUAGAUUUCUUCUCACCCAGCAGCUUCUAGAAAGUAGAGUAUAUCGCAACUUCCGAAACUUAUUAAAGAUGAUGGUUCUGAUGUUAAUAUCCAGGAUGAUGCGUUAAGCUCUUUUGAUAAUUUAUCAGAAGAAGAAAGAGCAGAAGAAAAUGGAGGAUCCUAAAAUGACUCAAAUAGAACUAAGAAAUAUCUAUGCCACAAAGCUAGGUAUAUUCAAGGAAAUAAUACGAAGCAUUAUAUUUUGUUUAUAUGCGUAAGUAUACUGACAUGCCGGUAAGCGAUAAUGGUAUUGUUGAACAGUGAACGCAAAUCCAUUUUUUUAGAACAAUCUGUAUGCAUGAGUUGAGCUGGUAUCUAGCUAUGCUAUUUUUAUGCAAGGUGCCGAAGUUCAAUAGCAUUCAUGAUAAUCCCCAACUUUAGUAUCCAGCAAAAGAGGAGGAUAUUUUUGGUGCUACUUAUGGCCGUACUAGCAGAAUAAAUGAUGUAUGCCAUCUAUUAUGACUUGUUCAUCUUGUCUACUGUUACAGCAAUGGGUUAAUUUGCUGGUUUUCCCCUGUUCGUUACAUUCUUUAUUGCUCUACUUAAUGGAAAGCUGUUAAAACUAAAAAAUGGCAACCUGUAGUUACUGGACACAAUGGAUUUGGUACAACACUGGAUCUAUUUUAUUAAUCCAUCAGAAUAAGCAGAACAGACCCCAUGGCAAUUAAAAUGGUGGUUCAGAAUAUAGAGCGACUUAUAUUAUCUGCAUAUAGAAUAGUUUAUUGUAGGCUACACAGAGCAUCGGUUCAGCACAUCUAACAUUUGUUGUUACUAGGAAUGCAUACAGUUAGUUAGUUACUAUUAACUUAUAUAUACUCACAAUGGCCUCAUCUCACAAAAUUGCAUGUGUUGUACUAAAGGCAUCUGAAGUAAUUCUUUUAGAAGGUCCAUGACAAGAGGUGAAUGGUAUAUUGGUAUUGUACAGAGUCUUCAAUCCAAAGGUAUAAAAUUAAUGCAGUGCCAUAAAAAUUUCUACUUGCUAUGGUGCAGUUUCGACUAUGUCAAUAACGUGCGGGUGUGCAUCAUUUACAUUGGUCUAUCAUACAAAAAUGCAGGCUAAUGCUUGCUGGAUAUAGGGACUACUGCAACCCACAUGUAUUACAUUUUAGAUGUCGUUUGUAAUAUCUUUUCUUUUCUGCAAUUCUUAGAACGCUGGAUUUAUCCAACUCCAUUAUGUAUAAAUUAAUUCCUUACUUACACCCUGCAUUCAGAAAUUAUAUUCUAUAGUUACUUAGAAAGAGUAUAUACAUCACCAACUCAUUUUCAGUUGGACAUUUCAUUUUUCAGAAUCACUGUUUGUUUAAUAAUGCUGCAGGUUUUCCUUUGACAGAUUCCAGUUGGUGUCACAGAGCAUAUAUGCUCAUUGGAUUUGUUGAUGUUGAAGCAUCAGCGAGAACACAUGAAUGAGGAAUGAGGGUUCUUAUGAGAUCACAAGAAUGAGGUAUUACACCCGCUCCAAAAGUUUCUCAAAUAUACUCUAAAAAUUUGUUGCAUGUUGUAAGAUGUUUCUGUUGUUCAUUUCUGUUAUUUUUACUUUAAAUCCUAAUACGAAUACAAGAAGUGCCCAUAUUCUUGUGUUCUAUACAAAGUGCCCAUAUUCUUGUGCUGUUCUGACUAAUUCUUUAGACACAUAGAAGUCAUAUCUGGUUUACAACAUAUCUAUCAUUAUGAAAUUAUAGAUAUUACUAUAUCAUCUUAUCCGUCAGUCGCUCUUCCUAAUCCAAAGGAACUUGUGGCCCGGAAAACCAAUUGAAACGAAAUAAUAAUAAAAUUUCCGAAAAAGUUUGUUGUGUAUGCAUGGAAAUACACUAUGAAUUUGCAAAUGUUCAGUGGUAAAAUCUUGAAAGAUGAAGAAGGUAGUUCUUUUUUUAAUUGUAAAGCAUGUACUAGAUGAUAGAGAUGAUAGCAUUUCAAUCUCAGUGUUGCAUAUUACCAUAAGGAUUUACUUAAGGUCAGAACUUUGCUUUAAUAGUUUCUUCUAAACUGGACACAGACUCCAUACCAUGUCUUUGAGAUGGAGUUGUUCGUACUUGUCUCUGUGAAGCCAUUUUCACGCAGGUUCACACACAUUUGUCUUCCACAUAUAGAAAACUAACAGACGUUAGCAUCAGGUUAUUUGUUUUCUUCUGUAAAAGGUAUGGAAGCUUUGGUCUAAUUAACAAAAGCAAGCUUUACUGAGCAAGGCAGACAAAUAAAUAGAAUGACGAUAUGAAUUGAAUCAACACUUUAAAUGCCAGCCAGAUCAAAAGAAAAACAUUUUUUACAUAAUACUUGUUAGGAUUGUAAAAAGAAUGAAGCCCUCCCUGAUGCUAGAUAGAACCUUCUCCAGUACCUAUUUAGUAGUGCACCAACUACUUUGUAGUAUGCAAAAGCAUGAUGGCUCAUCAGCUCCUGAACCAAGUAGGGGAAUAGUUCCCAAAGAUAGACCACCUUAAAUAAGAGUGCAUUUUUUAUUAUUUUAUGAAGCAGAGAGUAUUUUAAUAAGCCGUAAGGUACUAAUUGUUUUCCUAUGUAGCGAAGUAUGAAGAUCGGGCCUCAAAAUUUCAGUACUACUAUCAUUAUCUCGGAUCACAUGAUGUUGGUUGUUGUUAUUAUACAUGCCCUUUUGUGGUCCAUGAGGGAUACAACUAUGUUGGCCCUUAGGAUUGAGGAUUUCAAAUCCGGCUAUAUCAAUAGGAUUGUGCAGAUUAUUUCGAAAGAAACAGUGGUUGCUAUGGUUUGUAUAUUCAAAAGGAAAUGUAUCUGUUUAAGGCAGUGAGGUAUGUCCCAUGUUUACUCAUACACACAUCUCUUGAACUUCCUGCUGGCAA